RNAcentral lists this ribosomal RNA (396 nucleotides) under uncultured bacterium. Its description in RNAcentral is "partial 16S ribosomal RNA". It matches the Rfam family "Bacterial small subunit ribosomal RNA", at positions 338 to 731 of the family's 1533-position model. The record is from RNAcentral.
CCUACGGGAGGCAGCAGUGAGGAAUAUUGGUCAAUGGGCGCAAGCCUGAACCAGCCAAGUAGCAUGAAGGAUGACUGUCCUACGCAUUGUAAACUUCUUUUGUCAAGGGAUAAAGUGAGGCACGUGAGCCUUUUUGUGUGUACUUUAUGAAUAAGGAUCGGCUAACUCCGUGCCAGCAGCCGCGGUAAUACGGAGGAUCCGAGCGUUAUCCGGGUUUAUUGGGUUUAAAGGGUGCGUAGAUGGGUUGUUAAGUCAGUUGUGAAAGUUUGCGGCUCAACCGUAAAAUAGCAAUUGAUACUGGCAGCCUUGAGUAGAGUUGAGGUAGGCGGAAUUCGUGGUGUAGCGGUGAAAUGCUUAGAUAUCACGAAGAACUCCGAUUGCGAAGGCAGCCUACUA